GAUGAAGAACGUAGCGAAAUGCGAUACGUAAUGUGAAUUGCAGAAUUCAGUGAAUCAUCGAAUCUUUGAACGCAUAUUGCGCUCUCUGGUAUUCCGGAGAGCAUGCUUGUUUGAGUAUCAGUAAACACCUCAACUUCCAUAUCUUUUUUGAAAUGGGAGUUGGACUUGAGUGAUCCCAACGCUUUUCCUCACCGAAAAGUGGCGGGUUACUUGAAAUGCAGGUGCAGCUGGACUUUUCUCUGAGCUAUAAGCAUAUCUAUUUAGUCUGCCUAAAAAACAGAUUAUUACCUUUGCUGCAGCUAACAUAAAGGAGAUUAGUUCUUGUGCUGACUGAUGCAGGAUUCACAAAGACGGCUUCGGCCGACUUUGUAAACUCGAUCUCAAAUCAAGUAAGCCUACCCGCUGAACUUAAGCAUAUCAAUAAGCGGAGGA
RNAcentral lists this unclassified non-coding RNA (432 nucleotides) under soil metagenome. RNAcentral's name for it is "partial contains 5.8S ribosomal RNA, internal transcribed spacer 2, and large subunit ribosomal RNA". The stretch from base 1 to 120 matches the Rfam family "5.8S ribosomal RNA", at positions 35 to 154 of the family's 154-position model. The record is from RNAcentral.